AAAGAAAAUCAAGAUACGGAAGCAAAAGAUAGAUAAGAGGGGAGAUCAGGUCCUGUGGGCACCAGUAGCUACCUUGAUAAAUCCGAUACUGCGCUCAGGAACAGCAGAUAGUCACAGCAAAGCCUCCGGGAUCCAUGUGUCUGCACACAAGGUGCAGGGAGUGGAGUGCGUACUUCCAACUCAGUGAGUAAUAGCAAUAAAUAAC
RNAcentral lists this long non-coding RNA (205 nucleotides) under Nicotiana benthamiana. RNAcentral describes it as "long non-coding RNA (NBEN_LNC019398)". The record is from RNAcentral. Lineage: Eukaryota; Viridiplantae; Streptophyta; Magnoliopsida; Solanales; Solanaceae.